AAAAUAUUCAAAAUGGCGGACGGAGGAGCAGCGAGUCAAGAUGAGAGUUCAGCCGCGGCGGCAGCAGCAGCAGGCUGGAGUGCAGUGGUGUAAUUAUGGCUCAGUUCACCCUCAACCUCCUGAGGUCAAGUGAUUCUUCCUCCUCAGCCUCCUGAGUAGCUGGGACUACAGACUCAAGAAUGAACAAUCCGUCAGAAACCAGUAAACCAUCUAUGGAGAGUGGAGAUGGCAACACAGGCACACAAACCAAUGGUCUGGACUUUCAGAAGCAGCCUGUGCCUGUAGGAGGAGCAAUCUCAACAGCCCAGGCGCAGGCUUUCCUUGGACAUCUCCAUCAGGUCCAACUCGCUGGAACAAGUUUACAGGCUGCUGCUCAGUCUUUAAAUGUACAGUCUAAAUCUAAUGAAGAAUCGGGGGAUUCGCAGCAGCCAAGCCAGCCUUCCCAGCAGCCUUCAGUGCAGGCAGCCAUUCCCCAGACCCAGCUUAUGCUAGCUGGAGGACAGAUAACUGGGCUUACUUUGACGCCUGCCCAGCAACAGUUACUACUCCAGCAGGCACAGGCACAGGCACAGCUGCUGGCUGCUGCAG
RNAcentral lists this small RNA (588 nucleotides) under Pan troglodytes (chimpanzee). RNAcentral's name for it is "processed transcript". Lineage: Eukaryota; Metazoa; Chordata; Mammalia; Primates; Hominidae. The record is from RNAcentral.